CAGUUCUGGGCAAACCAGGACAGUUGGUCACCCUAGAGGAGUCAGAGCCAAGGUGAAAAACAAACUCCACUUGGUCCCCAGGCCUGUUGCUCUCGCCUUCAUACCAUGCCGGCUGCCGGUUUCCGGGCCUCACAAGGUCCUCACACACAGGUGGAGCUCCUUACCCAUGGUGACACAAAUAGGAAGCUGGGGAGGAAGAAUUCAAACCCAGGACUGCCUGUCUUCAGAAUCUGUGUUUUCAUCAUAAGGCCGCCUCUACAGAAGCACCUUCCUGUUUAUACACGAUGGUGGAAAGUUCCAGAAUGUCUUCAGCCCCGUGGUACUGCUGCAAAUGGGCAAGGACAGCUAGAUGCAAGAUGAAAAUGGGAGCCCGCUGUGUGCCAAUGGCGCAGCAAGCGACAGCAGACACGCAAGCUGUGUGCAUCUCCUCUGCUCAUGGGCUCUCUCUAUGGCCCCACUGCCUUCACUUUCAAAACGGAAGAAACCGUGUCAGCCUGAAGGUUCUGGAGAGCCCCACCCCCACCAGCCUCUGCCAACACUCCUGGACGAUAAAUAAUAGCUGCUCCAGUGUUCAAGCCACUUGCAGGGACUUGGCACGAGCACGCCAUGAUUUCAGAGGUCCUCUGAGCAGCGUAGGUUCCCCUGAAUUCUGGGAGAUGGAACUUACUGCCUGUGUUUCUGAGCAGAGCCGUUGCUAGAGGGAGG
RNAcentral lists this long non-coding RNA (705 nucleotides) under Equus caballus (horse). RNAcentral's name for it is "lncRNA (ENSECAG00000053358.1)". Lineage: Eukaryota; Metazoa; Chordata; Mammalia; Perissodactyla; Equidae. The record is from RNAcentral.